UGCAAGAUAUGGGUUGCUCAAAAUUGCAGGAAUGAAUGAAUGAAAAAGACUGAAGCACUAUAGCUGUACAAAUGACAAUGAACAUGGAAACAAGUAAAAAAGCAACCUUUGCAGAUUUUAAGUUGUUUGUGUCAAAUUGGUACGAUGAACACAUACCCAUCAAUAUGCUGAAAGUAUUAUUCAAGGACCAUGUAGAAAAUACUUUUGCAUUACAUAUUUCUUCUAAGACAAUAACCUUAAUGAAUAUGCUGAUAACAUCUGGAAGUUUGAGUCCAACAGACCUCACUCUCCUCUAUGAUACUAUUAAGGCAACAAAGCAAUUUGGUCUGGAACAAGAAAUUCAAAAUGAAAUGCCAUCAUUCCAAAUUGCCAAA
Anneissia japonica is the source of this 374-nucleotide long non-coding RNA. RefSeq lists it as uncharacterized. Lineage: Eukaryota; Metazoa; Echinodermata; Crinoidea; Comatulida; Comatulidae. The record is from RefSeq and is a predicted model, not a curated record. The transcript is spliced from 3 exons.